UACGGGGGGAGCAAGCGUUGUUCGGAUUUACUGGGCGUAAAGGGCGCGUAGGCGGCCAUCGCAAGUCGACUGUGAAAUCUCCGGGCUUAACCCGGAAAGGUCAGCCGAUACUGCGGGGCUAGAGUGCAGAAGGGGCAACUGGAAUUCUCGGUGUAGCGGUGAAAUGCGUAGAUAUCGAGAGGAACACCUGCGGCGAAGGCGGGUAGCUGGGCCGACACUGACGCUGAUGCGCGAAAGCCAGGGGAGCGAACGGG
Molecule: ribosomal RNA, 254 nt
Filed under: uncultured bacterium
Lineage: Bacteria
Description: partial 16S ribosomal RNA
Rfam family: Bacterial small subunit ribosomal RNA
Source: RNAcentral